Long non-coding RNA from Sorghum bicolor (sorghum), 1173 nucleotides. RefSeq lists it as uncharacterized. The record is from RefSeq and is a predicted model, not a curated record. Lineage: Eukaryota; Viridiplantae; Streptophyta; Magnoliopsida; Poales; Poaceae. The transcript has 3 exons.
UGAGUGCUCAUGAAAAUAUAAAAAAAAAAUAAUUUUGCUCCUUGUUCGGCACAUCUUUAUUCCUUGUUUUCCAGCCUGUGCUUUCGUUUCGAGUUUCCCAAAAUCUUUUCCGUGUAACCCAAAUCACUCCUUUCAGUUCCUCACCCGUCAAUCAAUCUCUAAAAAGUUACCGGAAAUUAUUUCAGCAUUUUUCUGAAACUCGUUCCACUUUUCUGUGAGCAUAAUCUAAUUUUUAGAUACUCCUAUAUAUCUUUUAUGAGCUCUAAAUACUUUAUUUGGGUUCUUCAUGUUCUAAAAUAUCUUUAAGAAUUUUCUCAUAAUUUUUGGACCCUUCGGAGUAUUUUUCGGACCUUAAAUAUCAAUUCUGGACUUUUUGGAAUUAUUUUUAUUCACGAAAUUAAUUAAUUCCGAAAAUAAAAUAAAAUAUCUCGUUUUUCCAUCAACCCAAAACCCCAACACUAUAUAUAUGCCGGCGUAGCCCUCGAUGCGCUGAUUCCGAAAGUACGGCCGGUUUUUCGAGCCGUCGUUCCUAUCGUCUUAGAUCUAAAGCCGAAGUUUCGAAACCUAGAACUCCGGCGAACUUCCGGCGAACCUUCGGCGAGCUUUUCCGGCCAUCUCCGACAUCACCUGCGAAAAUCGUCGCCAUCUAGAGCACCAUGGCCGGCCUUCUCCUCUAUCUGCUCAGGCCACCCUGCAGAGCAACCAACCUAACCGAGUCCUAGGCACCGCAGCCCCAUGGCCAUGCCGACCAUGUGCGCCGUGGCCCUGCCGCGCCACCAGCCUUCCUGGCCGUGUGCUCGGUCGAGCAGGGCUGGCAGCAGGCCGUGCUGCCCCUGUGGUCUUGUCUCUGGCUCAUCUUGAACAUGGGUCCGUGUCGCUGUGACUUUGCGCUGCCUCGCCGUGUCUCCGGCUGGCCAGCUGGCCAGACCCCUCCCAUCCCCACGCACUGCGGCAGCAGUGGUCAUGGAGGCCACGGGCUCCUCCAGCCCAAGACGAGAACCGUUUGUGGGCGUUGAAGAUCAGAAGGUGAUGACCGAAAGCUGAAGGUGUGGGAAUUGAGCAAAUAUUUAAGGCAAGUAUAACUUGGGAUCAUCCUUGUUACCUAUUCACUUAUAACUACACAUAUAUGUCAUAUGCAUGCUAUCACCUUGUCGACCUUAGCAAAAUCAUAGA